Polistes canadensis is the source of this 544-nucleotide long non-coding RNA. RefSeq lists it as uncharacterized. The transcript has 3 exons. NCBI's taxonomy places the organism in Eukaryota, Metazoa, Arthropoda, Insecta, Hymenoptera, Vespidae. The record is from RefSeq and is a predicted model, not a curated record.
UUUUUAGAUUAUCAAAAGAAAACAACUUACAAAUAUUAAGUAGAAUAAUACUCUCACGAUAACUAUUAAAAAAGAGAUAAGUAAUAUUUUCAUAUAUUUUUAACAAAGAAAAUUAUUGUGAACCUACUGUGAAUAACCAAUAAUAUUCUUAAAUUUCGCAAUGAACUGAUUGGUUGAAACAUGUUUGAAGAGGAAAGUAGUAGUGAUAUUAACGAAACAUUGAUUGAAGAAGCAUUAACAAACAUUUGGAAAAUUACAUUGAAAAUAAAGAGAGAAUUGGACAUAAUAAAUGACCUUGUAAAAGAAAAUGGAAAUUUCUGCUCAGCAGUCAUACAUACAAACCAGAACUUAAUGAAAAUACUUGAAGAAAAAGGUAUAGAUUUAUCUGCAAUUGAAGAAGAAAAAGAGAAUAAUGAAGAUAGUAAUAUUUUGGAGAGUGAAAAUGGAUCAGAUAUUAUAAAUCCUCUUGUACCAGUUAUAAAUAGAUUUUCCAAGAUUCCAUAAAAUAGCUAAUAAUUCAUUCUAAUAAAUAAUUGUAUUGUAA